This 805-nucleotide ribosomal RNA is filed under the name Merizodus soledadinus. RNAcentral describes it as "partial 16S ribosomal RNA". The stretch from base 391 to 549 matches the Rfam family "Bacterial large subunit ribosomal RNA", at positions 2473 to 2632 of the family's 2925-position model. Lineage: Eukaryota; Metazoa; Arthropoda; Insecta; Coleoptera; Carabidae. The record is from RNAcentral.
GUCUUUUUGUAUUUUAUUUAAAGUCUAGCCUGCCCACUGAAAUUAUUUUAAAUGGCCGCAGUAAUUUGACUGUGCAAAGGUAGCAUAAUAAUUAGUUUUUUAAUUAAGAGCUAGUAUGAAAGGUUGGACGAAGUAAAUUCUGUCUCUAUUUAAUUUAAAUUAGAAUUUAAUUUUUAAGUUAAAAAGCUUAAAUGUUUAUAAAAGACGAGAAGACCCUAUAGAGCUUUAUAUUUUUAAUAAUAUAAUUAUAUUAAGAUUUAAUUAUUUUUUAUUAUUAAAAUUAUUUUAUUGGGGUAAUAGAAAGAUUUAAAUAAUUCUUUUUUAUUAUUUAUAUUUAUUUAUAGAAUUAUUGAUCCAAUUUUAUUGAUUAUAAGAUUAAGUUACCUUAGGGAUAACAGCGUAAUUUUUUUGAAGAGUUCUUAUCGAUAAAAAAGUUUGCGACCUCGAUGUUGGAUUAAAGAUUAUUUUUGGUGUAGAAGUUAAAAAUUUUGGUCUGUUCGACCAUUGAAUCUUUACAUGAUCUGAGUUCAGACCGGUGUAAGCCAGGUCGGUUUCUAUCUUUAUUUUUGUAUAAUAUUUUAGUACGAAAGGACCAAAUAUUAAAUAUAUUAAUAUUUAUAUAUUGAAUAUUAUUAAUUAUUUUGGCAGAUUAGUGUAAUGAAUUUAGAAUUCAUAUAUGUAAUUUUUAUUACAAAUAAUACUUGUUUUAUAUAGAUAUAAUUUUUUCUAUUGUUUGUUUAUUAUUGUUAGUAAUUUGUGUAUUAGUAGGAGUUGCUUUUUUAACAUUAUUAGAGCGUAAAGUUUU